This 495-nucleotide ribosomal RNA is filed under the name uncultured bacterium. RNAcentral describes it as "partial 16S ribosomal RNA". It matches the Rfam family "Bacterial small subunit ribosomal RNA", at positions 28 to 507 of the family's 1533-position model. The record is from RNAcentral.
GACGAACGCUGGCGGCGUGCCUAAUACAUGCAAGUAGAACGCUGAAGGAGGAGCUUGCUUCUCUGGAUGAGUUGCGAACGGGUGAGUAACGCGUAGGUAACCUGCCUGGUAGCGGGGGAUAACUAUUGGAAACGAUAGCUAAUACCGCAUAAGAGUAGAUGUUGCAUGACAUUUUCUUAAAAGGUGCAAUUGCAUCACUACCAGAUGGACCUGCGUUGUAUUAGGUAGUUGGUGGGGUAACGGCUUACCAAGGCGACGAUACAUAGCCGACCUGAGAGGGUGAUCGGCCACACUGGGACUGAGACACGGCCCAGACUCCUACGGGAGGCAGCAGUAGGGAAUCUGCGGCAAUGGACGGAAGUCUGACCGAGAAACGCCGCGUGAGUGAAGAAGGUUGUCGGAUCGUAAAGCUCGGUUGUAAGAGAAGAACGAGUGUGAGAGUGGAAAGUUCACACUGUGACGGUAUCUUACCAGAAAGCGACGGCUAACUACGUG